This is a long non-coding RNA of Pollicipes pollicipes, 569 nucleotides long. RefSeq lists it as uncharacterized. The transcript is spliced from 3 exons. The record is from RefSeq and is a predicted model, not a curated record. Lineage: Eukaryota; Metazoa; Arthropoda; Thecostraca; Pollicipedomorpha; Pollicipedidae.
UUUUUGCGGGGCAGGCUGUGUUUCGUUCGCUUCGUGCUGAUUCGGGCUGUGUUGCGCGUGGGAUAAGCUUUUUGCACCAUGGAUGGAGUGCCAGUGAAGAUUAGUGAACAGUGCCGGCCGCCAGGAAAAGUUCAUCUACCAGCAUCACUUCGAACACUUCCGCCGCCGGAGGUUAACGUUCAAACGUACACUUUCGAGUUGGAGGAAAAGGCUACACAUUGGGUGCAGGAACGUCGAAGAAAUCUGUUGUCCGAAAGAGCGGAAAGACAGAAACGUUUAGAACUCAAAGAUGCAGCCAAACAAAAACAGAAAGAAGAACUGGAGGAAUUAGCGAAACAGGAACAGCAGGAAAAGCUUAAGAGAGAGGAAGAGGAACGGCAGCGGCAGGAGACAGAAGCGGCGAGAAUGUUAGCCGAAGAAGAGGAGAGGUUACGUCGCGAGGAGGAGGAAAAACUGGAGGAAUUCCGACGACGGCGUGAACAGUUGUCUCGCCAAGAGAGUGAGACGGCGGCAGAGCGCGUGCCCGCCGCCGAGGUGCAGGCCGGCCCGGAGUCUCAGCCGCCGGAGCA